This 441-nucleotide unclassified non-coding RNA is filed under the name Hevea brasiliensis (rubber tree). Lineage: Eukaryota; Viridiplantae; Streptophyta; Magnoliopsida; Malpighiales; Euphorbiaceae. The record is from RNAcentral.
GCGGGGGUGGUGGGGGAUGAGGAUAGGCAGAGGGAGGAGGAGCGGGAGCGAUGUGGUCGGAGUGAGGAGAAGCCGCCCACUGCUGAGGAGGAGGAGGAGGAGGAGAUGGAGAGUGCGAAGAUGGUGGUGGUGGUGGUGGCGGUGGUGGUGGGUGGUACUGGAAUUGGUUGGAGUACCAUGUGGAUUGUGGAGGAACGGGAGGCCUUCCCUGGUGGUGGAGAUAGUGGUGGGGAUCUGCAGACGACGGAGGCAGCGGUGGAGUUGGCGGUGGUCUCAUGUAUCUAUGCUGCUGUUGGUAAGCAUCCAUGUUGGCCUCUGCGCGUGCGGGUUUUGAUCUAUACAAGUAGAAAAAAGAAGGGUUUGGGUCUUUAAGGGAGAUUUUCCGUUUAGGUGUUACGAACGACGGGAACGCAUUGUAGUCCAGGUGAGGCCUAUCUCUGC